This is a long non-coding RNA of Homo sapiens (human), 2483 nucleotides long. RefSeq lists it as uncharacterized. Lineage: Eukaryota; Metazoa; Chordata; Mammalia; Primates; Hominidae. The record is from RefSeq and is a predicted model, not a curated record. The transcript is spliced from 3 exons.
CCAGACUGGAGUGCAGUGGCAUGAUCUCAGCUCACCGCAACCUCUGCCUCCCAGGAUCAAGUGAUUCUUCUGCCUAGUCUCCCAAGUAGCUGGGAUUACAAGUUCGUGCUACUACCGCCUGGGUUCAUGAGGCCUAAAGUCCUUGCUGUUUAAAUGCCCCACUGACAUGGACCCUUGAAGAGUUCCUGAGGGUCCAGCUUGAAAAUCUCUUAACCUGUAAAUUGUGCUGAAGGAGGCAGCUGAAUUAUACAUAAAGUUGAGAUGGUCAUUUAUAAGAUUCACUAGAACAGGGUUCUGCAAACUGCAAAUAUGUCUGCCAUCUGAUUUUGUGAAUGAAGUUUUACUGGAACACAGGUAAGCUCAUUCAUUUAUGUAUUGUCCAUGGCUGGUUUUGCACUGCAACUAUGGCAGAGUUAAGUAAUUAUGACAGACGAAAUGGUUGGGAAAGCCGAAAAUUCUUUUGGCUCUUUACAGUAAGUUUGCCCACCUCUGCUCUAGAAGAUGAUUUGGUAUCUUUCACUGUUUCAGAUAAUUAAUGAAAUGAAUAAACACACACCAAUAGAAUAUAGAAACAAAAUUUAUGAUCAAAGCUGAGACUAGUUACACUGAGGCCAAUCUAACUGCCUUCUGAGAGUCAGCAGCUUUGUUUUACUAAUCACAGUAAUUGUGUGUGAGGCGUGGGGUAGAUGUAAUGAAUAAAAAGUCCAAUAAAUUAAAAAGCACUUUAAGUUCUUUUUCUCUUAAUGAGAUAGAACACUACAAGAAACAAAGGUUCAUUUAAUAAAUAUAUUGAAUAUGUAAAAAUAUAACCUAAUUCCCUAUUUUAGUCAGAGGAGAGAUAAGAAGAAGAAAAAGAAGAUGUAGUGGUUGGGGGUAGAAACAGGAGCACACAAAAAGAAAAAAUCUACAGACAAAGUAGACUCUAGCAGUGUCUAGAACAAAAAUAGAUGCUCAAUAAGUAUAAUGAUCGAAUGAGUAUAAAUUAAAGGGCCUUUCUCACUUAUUCUGCAGGCUUUAAACUCAGUCAUCAUCUCUCAUUAGUGUCCUUUGAAAUGUAACUUGUCUGCAGAGUUCACUCACUUCCCUAAGAAUGAGAUGCAGACAGGGAAGGAGCUCUCCUCAGGGCUAGAUAAAAUCCAGAGGACUGUCUGGUCUGUGUUUAAAGGUUCUAAGUAGCUAUUUAUUUUGUUUCUCCUUCCAAAAUAUCUCAUUCCUACAGAAGGUCACAGGAGACUGUAAUCCUGUAUACAAUUAUUGGCCAACAUAAAUCAGUUCAGAACACUGUAGAAUAUGUACAACUUCAGGACACUGUGGUCUCUUCUCUUGGGAAUAAUAAACAUCUCCUAAAUUACACAGAGACAAUUUCUAUCAUGGGGUAAGGGGUUACUCUGUAAAAAUGCACUAAUGAAGAAAAGAAGAUUUAUUAUCACACAGAUUCAGUGUGCUCAAUGGGAGGAUACAAAAUUAAGAGACGGAGGUGCAUGUUUUUAAAGAUAUGUAAAUAUAGCAGUGGUUCUCCAUCUUUAGAAGGACCUGUAGGGCCUGUUAAAACCAAGACUGCUGAUGUCCAGCCCAAGUUUCUGAUUUAGUAGGUCUGGGGUUGGGCUAGGGUUGCCAGAAAAAAAAAACAAAAAAACGGCAAUGCCUAGUUGAAUUUGAAUUUCAGAGAAACUUUUUAUGUUCCAAAUUCUGCAAUAUUUUAUUUUUAUCUGCUAAAUCUAGCAACCCUAGAAUUUGCAUUUCUAACAGAUUUUGAAGAGAUGCUGAUGCUGCUGGUCUAGGGACCUUACUUUGAGAACCACUGAGAUAUAGGAUAUUACGUUAUCACCAAAAAGGAAAAACUGGGGGAGGAGGGAAGCUGAGUAGAUCAGGUAAGAGUUCCUGAAGGAAAGGACAAGGACAUGGGAUGGGUCUUUAAGGGUGCCUAGAAGCUAGCCAGAAGAAUACUGAGAGGAAAGCUUUGAGCAAAGGGGCAGAAAUGUCAGAAAAUGCCUGACGUUUUAAGGAAAUUACAAGAAGCUUAGUGUUGCUGGUGCAUAAAGUUUAAUGCAGGUGGUGGUAGAUAAAACUAAAAGGACAGAGGCCAGAAAGUACUAGGACCUUAUGUACCCUGUGAAAAAGCACUUAGGGGUUUACACUGUAAAACAGUCAGCUUACCCGAUGGGGAGCAAUUUAAAGGAUUUUAAGCAGAGCAGGGACUUGAUCAGAUUUGCAUUUUUAGAAAGAUCAUUUGGGUGGAGGAUCAGAAGCAUGAUUAUGUGUUCAAGAGUAUUUGAAAUACGGUUAUUUAUGGAAACCAUUUUUAAUAUAAUUCUGCACAGACACAGACUGCUGGAGGCUACACCAGAGAAGGGAAGGAAAUAGAACAAUACUCAAUUCAUUAUGAAAUUUAUUUAAAGUCCCUGCUAACUUGGCUCUCACUGAUGCCAGAAGGACAGCAUUUAAUUUUUAAAGAUACCAAAUAAAAAUGCAUGGUUACAAAA